This 429-nucleotide ribosomal RNA is filed under the name Pseudomonadota bacterium. Its description in RNAcentral is "Proteobacteria bacterium partial 16S ribosomal RNA". It matches the Rfam family "Bacterial small subunit ribosomal RNA", at positions 355 to 776 of the family's 1533-position model. The record is from RNAcentral. Lineage: Bacteria; Pseudomonadati; Pseudomonadota.
UGGGGAAUAUUGGACAAUGGGCGAAAGCCUGAUCCAGCCAUGCCGCGUGUGUGAAGAAGGUCUUCGGAUUGUAAAGCACUUUAAGUUGGGAGGAAGGGCAGUAAGCGAAUACCUUGCUGUUUUGACGUUACCGACAGAAUAAGCACCGGCUAACUCUGUGCCAGCAGCCGCGGUAAUACAGAGGGUGCAAGCGUUAAUCGGAAUUACUGGGCGUAAAGCGCGCGUAGGUGGUUCGUUAAGUUGAAUGUGAAAGCCCCGGGCUCAACCUGGGAACUGCAUCCAAAACUGGCGAGCUAGAGUAGGGCAGAGGGUGGUGGAAUUUCCUGUGUAGCGGUGAAAUGCGUAGAUAUAGGAAGGAACACCAGUGGCGAAGGCGACCACCUGGGAUCAUACUGACACUGAGGUGCGAAAGCGUGAGGAGCAAACAGG